UGAUUACAGGAAGUAAUUGAUUUGACUGUGCCUAGAAAUGGACGUCCCCUUUCCAAUCAAUACUAUGGCUCUGAGCAGCUGAGCUGGUAGCUCCUGUCUGAGCAGUGAAGCAGGGGCACCAUCUUGAGGUCCUGCCAUCUGCUCUCCAUGGGUCCUGCAUACCCAGCUAUGCAGAUGGGGAACUCCUUUCCCACCCCAAAUUGCAGCAGUCCCCAAACUGCGGAAGAUUCACCAAGCCUUAACCCAUAAGAAAGAGUCCAUUUUGAGCUCUGUUUCCUGCAUCAUUCAAAAGGAAUGCUCCUGGCCUAAAAUCUCCUUAGUCUGGAGGACGAAAAGUUUUUCCUAAGUCAGGAAAACACAUUGAAAACCAAAAAAAGGAAAGAUCAAAUAAUGUGGAGAGAUAACAACAAUUUUGAAAAGCAAGAAAAAUGGGAAGUGAUAGGCCAAGCAGAUAUUCAAGGAUGUUGUGGAAUUAUGGCGUGGCGCUGACAUAAGAAAAAUAGACAUCAAUUGAAUGAAACAUAAAAGCAAGACUUUAAUAUUUGCAACAUAAUUCAAUGAGAAAAGGGAAGAUCAUAAAAUAAAUUAUAGUGGUAUAAAUUAUUAGCAAUUUGGAGGCAAAUAUACUCUUACUGUGUGCGCGCGCGUGCACACACACACACACACACACACACACCGGGAGAGUGUAGUGAUUAAGAAAGCAGCAUCUAUAGUCAGCAAGUCUGGGAUUAAAUCCCAGAUCUAAUUUAUUUAGCUGUGUUAUUUAAUCUUGCAAAUUGCACAAUCUCUUUGUGCCUAGUUUUCCUUAUAUUACACAGAGGAAGUGAUAAUAAUAUUUACUUUACAGGGUUGUUAUGAGGACUGAGUGAAUCAAAACAUGUAAAGCAUUUAGAACAGUUUCUAACAUACAGUAAGCACUCAGUAUAUGUUAAUCAUUGUAAUGGAGGGAAAAUCAUAAUAAAAAAAAGUCACUUCAUUUCAAUAUAUUCUACUAAAU
Long non-coding RNA from Lutra lutra (Eurasian river otter), 997 nucleotides. RefSeq lists it as uncharacterized. The transcript is spliced from 3 exons. The record is from RefSeq and is a predicted model, not a curated record. NCBI's taxonomy places the organism in Eukaryota, Metazoa, Chordata, Mammalia, Carnivora, Mustelidae.